CGUCUAAAGGAAGGUUGGACUCUGGAGUUGAAUACACACACCACAAAUAAGUUACUGAGAAUUCUUCUGUCGAACAUUACAUGAAGAAAUCCCGUUUCCAACGAAGGCCUCAAAGAGGUCCAAAUAUCCACAUGCAGACUUUACAAAGACAGUGUCUCCAAACUCCUCCAUCAAAACAAAGGUUAUACUCUGUGAAUUGAACGCACACAUCACAAAGUAGUUUCUGAGAAUGAUUCUGUCUAGUUUUUAUACGAAGAUAUUUCCUUUUCUACAUUUGGCCUAAAAGCACUUGAAAUCUCCACCUACA
Molecule: long non-coding RNA, 307 nt
Filed under: Homo sapiens (human)
Lineage: Eukaryota; Metazoa; Chordata; Mammalia; Primates; Hominidae
Description: HSALNT0367620
Source: RNAcentral